UACAGAGGUCCCAAGCGUUGUUCGGAUUCAUUGGGCGUAAAGGGCGCGUAGGCUGCGGGGUAAGUCGGGUGUGAAAUCUCAGGGCUCAACCCUGAAACUGCACUCGAUACUGCUCUGCUUGAGGACUGGAGAGGAGACUGGAAUUCACGGUGUAGCAGUGAAAUGCGUAGAUAUCGUGAGGAAGACCAGUGGCGAAGGCGGGUCUCUGGACAGUUCCUGACGCUGAGGCGCGAAGGCCAGGGGAGCAAACGGG
This 253-nucleotide ribosomal RNA is filed under the name uncultured bacterium. RNAcentral's name for it is "partial 16S ribosomal RNA". It matches the Rfam family "Bacterial small subunit ribosomal RNA", at positions 524 to 776 of the family's 1533-position model. The record is from RNAcentral.